AGCGAACGCUGGCGGCAUGCCUAACACAUGCAAGUCGAACGAAGCCUUCGGGCUUAGUGGCGCACGGGUGCGUAACGCGUGGGAAUCUGCCCUUGGGUUCGGAAUAACAGUUAGAAAUGACUGCUAAUACCGGAUGAUGUCUUCGGACCAAAGAUUUAUCGCCCAAGGAUGAGCCCGCGUAGGAUUAGGUAGUUGGUGGGGUAAUGGCCCACCAAGCCGACGAUCCCUAGCUGGUCUGAGAGGAUGAUCAGCCACACUGGGACUGAGACACGGCCCAGACUCCUACGGGAGGCAGCAGUGGGGAAUAUUGGACAAUGGGCGAAAGCCUGAUCCAGCAAUGUCGCGUGAGUGAUGAAGGCCUUAGGGUUGUAAAGCUCUUUUACCAGGGAUGAUAAUGACAGUACCUGGAGAAUAAGCUCCGGCUAACUCCGUGCCAGCAGCCGCCGCAG
Molecule: ribosomal RNA, 449 nt
Filed under: uncultured bacterium
Lineage: Bacteria
Description: partial 16S ribosomal RNA
Rfam family: Bacterial small subunit ribosomal RNA
Source: RNAcentral